AGCAGCAAGACCUUUAGAACUACUUUCAAAAUUAUUUUUUCAAGCCUUUUUAUAUUUUCUAAAUUUUGUAUACAAGUUUUCUGAUUCAAUGUCGAAGGAGAAGAUCUACGUUUUUGCUUGGAAGUGGCUGUCCUCGCCAACUUUCAGCUGCAUUUCAUUGAUUCCGGCCAGUCCAGCUUCUC
Long non-coding RNA from Drosophila serrata, 182 nucleotides. RefSeq lists it as uncharacterized. The record is from RefSeq and is a predicted model, not a curated record. Lineage: Eukaryota; Metazoa; Arthropoda; Insecta; Diptera; Drosophilidae.